UACGAGUGCUUCGAGCGUUAUCCGGAAUCAUUGGGCGUAAAGGGUGUGUAGGCGGUUAUGUUAGUCUUGUGUAAAAUUCUUCGGCUCAACCGGGGGCUCGCACGAGAAACGGCAUGACUAAGAGGAUGGAAGGGGACUCUGGAACUCAUAGUGUAGCGGUGAAAUGCGUUGAUAUUAUGGGGAACACCAAAAGCGAAGGCAAGAGUCUGGUCCACUCCUGACGCUGAAACACGAAAGCGUGGGUCGCGAAUGGG
RNAcentral lists this ribosomal RNA (254 nucleotides) under uncultured bacterium. RNAcentral's name for it is "partial 16S ribosomal RNA". It matches the Rfam family "Bacterial small subunit ribosomal RNA", at positions 524 to 776 of the family's 1533-position model. The record is from RNAcentral.